RNAcentral lists this ribosomal RNA (657 nucleotides) under uncultured fungus. Its description in RNAcentral is "eukaryotic LSU rRNA". It matches the Rfam family "Eukaryotic large subunit ribosomal RNA", at positions 24 to 664 of the family's 3401-position model. The record is from RNAcentral. Lineage: Eukaryota; Fungi.
CCCGCUGAACUUAAGCAUAUCAAUAAGCGGAGGAAAAGAAACUAACAAGGAUUCCCCUAGUAACUGCGAGUGAAGAGGGAAAAGCUCAAAUUUAAAAUCUGGCAGUCUCCGAUUGUCCGAGUUGUAAUUUAGAGAAGUGUUACCCGCGUUGGACCGUGUACAAGUUUCCUGGAAUGGAACGUCAUAGAGGGUGAGAAUCCCGUCUUUGACACGGACUACCAAGGCUUUGUGGUGCGCUCUCGAAGAGUCGUGUUGUUUGGGAAUGCAGCACUAAAUGGGUGGUAAAUUCCAUCUAAAGCUAAAUAUUGGGGAGAGACCGAUAGCGAACAAGUACCGUGAGGGAAAGAUGAAAAGAACUUUGGAAAGAGAGUUAAACAGUACGUGAAAUUGCUGAAAGGGAAACGCUUGAAGUCAGUCGCGUUGGCCGGGGAUCAGCCUUCCUUUUGGUUGGUGUACUUCCUGGUCGAUGGGUCAGCAUCAGUUUUGACCGGUGGAUAAGAGCUUGAGGAAUGUGGCAUCUUCGGGUGUGUUAUAGCCUCUUGUUGUAUACAUCGGUUGGGACUGAGGAACUCAGCACGCCGCAAGGCCGGGUUUUUAACCACGUUCGUGCUUAGGAUGCUGGCAUAAUGGCUUUAAUCGACCCGUCUUGAAACACGG